UGCUGACGUCUUCCUCUUUUGUAGCUGGAAGUCACAGGGCAAAGCACUAAGCUGUGCAGUCACAGAAAAAGUCUAAGGGUGUGAAGGGACAGAGGGGAGAGUGUCCAGGGAAGAGUGUCAAGGGUGAAGAAGGAGGAGACAGGUGGGAGCAGAGGUGUUCAGGGCAAUGGCUGAGGCCAUCACCUAUGCUGACCUGCGGUUUGUGAAGGCUCCGCUGAAGAAGAGCGUCUCCAGCCGGUUAGGACACGACCCAGAGACUGAUGAGGAUGAGGAACUCACCUAUGAGAAUGUGCAAGUGCCCUCAGUCUCAGGUGGGCCCUUGAGCUUGGCUUCUUCUGCAGUAGGGGACAAAGCAGGGCUCCACCCCGAGCAGCCAACUGCGUCCUGGAGCUCCGUGACGUCACCCGCUGCCGGGAGGCUCCUCGCGGGUCGCGCAGCCUGUAUGCAGUACCUCUUUCUCGGCCUGCUGUUCACCAGCCUGCUGUUAGGGGUGGCCGCCAUCUGCCUGGGAGUACGCUAUCUGCAGGUGUCUCAGCAGCUCCAGCAAACGAACAGGCUUCUGGAAACCACUAACAGCAGCCUGCGACAGCAGCUCCACCUAACGAUGACCCAGCUGGGGAAGAAGGAGGAGGAUCUGCAGGGGUCCAGGAGGGAAGUAGCCCAGAGUCAGGAAGCACUACAGGAGAAAGAGAAGGUUUGCCAGACUACCCAAGAGCAGUUACAGGCCUGCCAGUCUGAGAUGGAGAAGACAAAGGAGGACUUGCAAAGUAAGGAGGUGCAGAGAAUGACCUUGGAGCAGAGGCUGAGCAGCAUGCACCACACACUGAAGCCCUUAUUCACGUGCCCCUUAGAAGAUUCCUGCUGUCCCGUGGGAUGGAUACUGAAUGAGAGGAGUUGCUUUUACAUCUCAUACACCGAGAGAAGUUGGGGGGAGAGCCGAAACUACUGUCAAUCUCUGUCCUCCGACCUGGCCACGUUCAGUGACAUUUCUUAUUAUUUGGUUACAGACCAUAACAGCGAAAGUAAGAUGUUGAUGCAAAUUAGCCCACCUGGUUCAUUUUGGACUAAUUACAGCUUUGCUAAGAGGCGGCAGCAGGCUCAAGGCAAACGAGGCACUGGGUAUUACAGUCAAAGCUCAAGCUGUUUUAAGGUACAAAGCAGGUGGCUAAGAAUACAGACGGAUGACUGUACUUCUCUUCUUCCCUGCAUCUGUGAGAUGACAGCUUUCAAGCACCCUGAUAGGGACCACUUUUUGCCCUGAGUUGGGUACUCAUGCCAACAGAAGCCUGCACCCUUCACCCUAACUGCAGUUUGCAGGCCCUAAGAUCAUCUCCCUCUAGCGUUCUCUCACUCUGCCUGGGCAGUGCCUAGCCAAGGGCUGAUCCAUGCCCAACACUUCUAGCCAGCCUGUUGCCUGCUUGAAAUCCUGUCCCAGAAGCUGGACUGUUCCUGGGAAACUGGUGAAGAAGUCACUAGAAGAGAUUUUGGCCUCCCCAAAAACUUCCCAUAGUGGCACUGCAGGGGGGUGGAGGAGGGCGCAUGGGCUGAGUGGAUAGGGGCAGCCCGGAGCCAGCCAGGCAGUUUUAUUGAAAUAUUUUUAAAUAA
Mustela erminea (ermine) is the source of this 1605-nucleotide RNA transcript. It is a transcript of the gene named CD72 molecule, with no coding region annotated. NCBI's taxonomy places the organism in Eukaryota, Metazoa, Chordata, Mammalia, Carnivora, Mustelidae. The transcript is spliced from 10 exons. The record is from RefSeq and is a predicted model, not a curated record.